GCGUCAGCCACGGUUAAACAGGGG
Molecule: small RNA, 24 nt
Filed under: Sinorhizobium meliloti 2011
Lineage: Bacteria; Pseudomonadati; Pseudomonadota; Alphaproteobacteria; Hyphomicrobiales; Rhizobiaceae
Description: putative ncRNA
Source: RNAcentral